RNAcentral lists this ribosomal RNA (406 nucleotides) under uncultured bacterium. Its description in RNAcentral is "partial 16S ribosomal RNA". It matches the Rfam family "Bacterial small subunit ribosomal RNA", at positions 30 to 526 of the family's 1533-position model. The record is from RNAcentral.
AUUGAACGCUGGCGGCAGGCCUAACACAUGCAAGUCGAACGAGUGGCGGACGGGUGAGUAAUGUAUGGGAAACUGCCUGAUGGAGGGGGAUAACUACUGGAAACGGUGGCUAAUACCGCAUACCAUCAGAUGUGCCCAGAUGGGAUUAGCUAGUGGGUGGGGUAAUGGCUCACCAAGGCGACGAUCCCUAGCUGGUCUGAGAGGAUGACCAGCCACACUGGGACGUAGACACGGUCCAGACUCCUACGGGAGGCAGCAGUGUGGAAUAUUGCACAAUGGGCGCAAGCCUGAUGCAGCCAUGCCGCGUGUAUGAAGAAGGCCUUCGGGUUGUAGAGUACUUUCAGCGGGGAGGCGUUACCCGCAGAAGAAGCACCGGCUAACUCCGUGCCAGCAGCCGCGGUAAUUC